RNAcentral lists this ribosomal RNA (250 nucleotides) under uncultured prokaryote. RNAcentral's name for it is "partial 16S ribosomal RNA". It matches the Rfam family "Bacterial small subunit ribosomal RNA", at positions 524 to 774 of the family's 1533-position model. The record is from RNAcentral.
UACGUAGGGGGCGAGCGUUAUCCGGAUUUAUUGGGCGUAAAGCGUGUGUAGGCGGUUUAUUAAGCCGGAGAUGAAAUGCUAUGGCUUAACCAUAGUUUGUUUCCGGAACUGGUAGACUAGAGUGCAGUAGAGGCAAUUGGAACUCAUAGUGUAGCGGUGGAAUGCGUAGAUAUUAUGAGGAACAUCAGUGGCGAAGGCGAAUUGCUGGGCUGUUACUGACGCUGAGACACGAAAGCGUGGGGAGCAAAUA